AUUGAACGCUGGCGGCAUGCCUUACACAUGCAAGUCGAACGGUAACGGGCCUUCGGGUGCCGACGAGUGGCGAACGGGUGAGUAAUGCAUCGGAACGUACCUUUCAGUGGGGGAUAACGUAGCGAAAGUUACGCUAAUACCGCAUAUUCUGUGAGCAGGAAAGCAGGGGAUCGCAAGACCUUGCGCUGAUUGAGCGGCCGAUGUCAGAUUAGCUAGUUGGUGAGGUAAAGGCUCACCAAGGCGACGAUCUGUAGCGGGUCUGAGAGGAUGAUCCGCCACACUGGAACUGAGACACGGUCCAGACUCCUACGGGAGGCAGCAGUGGGGAAUUUUGGACAAUGGGGGCAACCCUGAUCCAGCCAUGCCGCGUGAGUGAAGAAGGCCUCGGGUUGUAAAGCUCUUCGUCCGGGAGGAAAUACGCAUGGUUAAUACCUGUGCGGAUGACGGUACCGGCCGAUAAGAAGCAACCGGCUAACUAACGUGCCAGCAGACCG
RNAcentral lists this ribosomal RNA (494 nucleotides) under uncultured bacterium. Its description in RNAcentral is "bacterial SSU rRNA". It matches the Rfam family "Bacterial small subunit ribosomal RNA", at positions 30 to 517 of the family's 1533-position model. The record is from RNAcentral.